RNAcentral lists this ribosomal RNA (2061 nucleotides) under Triticum aestivum (bread wheat). Its description in RNAcentral is "partial small subunit ribosomal RNA". Lineage: Eukaryota; Viridiplantae; Streptophyta; Magnoliopsida; Poales; Poaceae. The record is from RNAcentral.
AUGGGAGCUCGGGCGCAGGAUCUCUGGAACAAUUGGUCCAUCCAGAUCCUGGUGCUCCUCAGCCUCGGCCUCCAGUUCGCCCUCUUCCUCCUCGCCGGCAUCCGCAGGCGUGGAGCGCACCCAUUGCUGUGGUUCUUGCUCUGGCUGGCGUACCAGCUGGGCGACUACACGGCGACGUACGCCCUCGGCCACCUCUCCCUCAAGGGCGCGGCGCGGGAGCACCCCAUCGUCGCGUUCUGGGCGCCGUUCCUCCUGCUUCACCUCGGAGGCCCGGACAACAUCACCGCCUACUCCCUGGAGGACAACAAGCUCUGGAAGCGCCACCUGCUACACGUGGUGCUUCAGGUGCUGGCGGCCGUGUACGUCCUCUACGAGCAUGUCUCCGGAAGGGGGCCGCUGCUCCAGCUCGCCUCCGUUCUGAUGUUGGCCGUCGGUGCGGUCAAGUACGGUGAGAAGACGUGGGCGCUCAUGCUCGGCAACCUGGACAGCAUCCGAGGCGCCGUCAAGAAGCAACCACCUGCCACGCACGGGCACUUUCACCCCCAGGAUCACGUGCUCAAGGGUGGAGUGUUGGACGAGGAGUCCCUUGUGCGACGGGCUCACUCGCUCUUCCACAUCUGCAAGCGUGCCAUAGUUGACUGUCCGGUGAUCGAAGACGCCUCAGACACCGCCAAGAUGGUGGACGUGGUGGAGUUCUGGCCAUUGAUGGAGACCGAGCUCUCCCUAAUGUACGACAUGCUGUACACCAAGGCAGCCGUCAUCCACACCUGGUUCGGCUACUCGGUACGUCUCGUCUCCCCGCUCGCCAUUGCUGCCUCGCUGCUUCUGUUUAGGCUCAUUGGCAAGGACGUCGCCCACCGCGGGGUCGACGUCGUCAUCACCUACGUCUUGUACGGUGGUGCCUUGUUCAUGGAGACGACGGCGCUGCUCAACGCGCUAGGCUCCUCCUGGACAUUUGCCUUCCUGAGUACCACGAGAUGGCGCUGGCUUCGGACCGCGGCUCUGUGCAAUGAAAGGUGGGACCGGCUUAGGCGUUUGGUCGCAUAUCUUCACCAUCUUGUGAGGCUAGGAGGAGGAAGCCGGUACAAGUCAAGAAGGUGGUCACGUACCAUGGGGCAGUUCAACAUGCUGCACUAUUGCACCCGCUCCGACGGUGCAUUCACGAGGCCUCUGCUCGGCAGGUUGGCCAGGAUGGUAGGACUGGGACUCAAUGAGUGGUGGAACAGGGAGCAUUACUCAUGGGCCAUUGAGAUGCCCGUACAUGUGAAGGAUUGCAUAUCCGAUCACAUGAAAAGAGUGUACAAGAAAGGGGUUGUGAACUCACUGGGCAUGCUCAGGAACAGGUGGGGCGAGGAACCACUGGUUCUCAGGAAACUCUUCCAUGGCAUACUCAAAGACUCACUCGGUGUUGAGUUCCAGGAGUGCAUCAUCAUCUGGCACAUCGGCAGUGAUGUUUUUCUCGCCAAGAGCCAGCGGGCCAAGGACGAAGAUGCAUCACUUGAUGUCGAUGCGAUCAAGGUGAUAUCCAACUACAUGAUGUUCCUCCUUGUGGCGACACCCGACAUGCUACCAGGCCUCUCCCAGAACAGGUUAUAUCAACAAACCUGCGAAAAUCUAGUCAAGACUAGACGAUCGACGCAUAGGCGCCAACACAUGAACCUUUGUGCUAAGCUCAAGAAUCUCUUCCGCCUGCACGAUGACCCCGGUUCUAGUUCCAGGGUCGCCGACAGAGAGGAGCUUGCAAGAAUCCUAUGUGCGAGCAAAGGCUUCAGCCAUGAUACUCCUCGACUGUCCUAUGUAGUAAGACUUGCCAAGCAACUGCUAAGGCAAGAGAAAGAUGGAACGGCUGAUUCCUUGAAACUUGUCCUAGAUGUGUGGACGGAUAUUCUUGUCUAUGCAAGCAACAAAUGCAGCAGGAAGGCUCAUGCCGAGAAGCUCAGCACCGGCGGUGAGUUGACAACCAUCCUUUGGCUCAUGGCAGAACACUUCUAUCAACUUUAUUUGGAGGAACUUAUCCAGAACGAGAAGGAUAAGUUACCUGUAGUAGAAGGCACCAAUUAG